This 5116-nucleotide long non-coding RNA is filed under the name Homo sapiens (human). RNAcentral describes it as "HSALNT0197608". Lineage: Eukaryota; Metazoa; Chordata; Mammalia; Primates; Hominidae. The record is from RNAcentral.
CUGAGGCCCAGAGAAGGGACAGGACUCACCCAGGGCCACACAGCGAGGCUAAGGCAGAGGGAAAACCAGAAUCCAUGUGGCUCCCCCCAGACUCAGUGUGUGGCUGGUCACUGCUGAUGGCUCACCCACCAGGGACAGGAGGAGGAGGAGGAGAAGGGCAAAAAGGAGGAGGAAGAGAAUGAGGAGGAGGAGUUGGGGAGGAAGGGGGGGAGGAGGAGGAAGAGAGGAGGAGAAGGAACUGAAGGAAGAAGAGGAAGAGGAGGAGGAGGGAAGUAGGAGGAAGAGGAGGAAGGGAGCAGGAGGAAACAGGACUCCCAGGAUAAAAAGUUCCCUUUCUAACCAGACCAGCUGAGACUGGUUGAAACCAAGAUAGCUGACCGAGAAACUUCAAAAAGACCUUCAGCCUUAUUAUCAUCUCAUUUCCAUGCUCAGUGACACGCCCACAGUGCCAUGAUGGUUGGAAAUCACCAUGACGAUGACUGGAGGAAGGAAGGUCGCGCUCCGGUUCCAGGAAGCUCACUGCCCGCUCCCGGAAAAGACAUGAAUAUUCCUCCCCUUGCUUGGGCCACGGAAUGAAGCCUGCACUGCGGACACUCACUUUCGGUUUCAUGUAUUGGCUUCGUGACACCCCACAGCGAAAGACCCUCUGUUCUGGGGGAAUGACUGUGUUGGUGACAAAACCAUGCUUUCUGGAUCACUGUGGUAUUACGGCAGGGCUUGAAGUCAGGUAUGUGGGUUCUCCAACUCUGUUCUUUUUUCUUCCUCAUGGUGUUGGCUGUCCGAGGACUUUCGCCUUUCCAUAUGAACUUUAGACUCAGGUGGCAUCGCCUGCAGAAUGCCUUGCUGGGAUUGGCCGGGAUUGAACGUUAGACUCAGGUGGCAUCACCUGCAGAAUGCCUUGCUGGGAUUGGCCGGGAUUGAACGUUAGACUCAGGUGGCAUCACCUGCAGAAUGCCUUGCUGGGACUGGCUGGGAUUGAACGUUAGACUCAGGUGGCAUCGCCUGCAGAAUGCCUUGCGGGGAUUGGCUGGGAUUGAACGUUAGACUCAGGUGGCAUCGCCUGCAGAAUGCCUUGAGGGGAUUGGCCGGGAUUGAACGUUAGACUCAGGUGGCAUCGCCUGCAGAAUGCUUUGCUGGGAUUGGCUGGGAUUGAACGUUAGACUCAGGUGGCAUCGCCUGCAGAAUGCCUUGCUGGGAUUGGCCGGGAUUGAACGUUAGACUCAGGUGGCAUCGCCUGCAGAAUGCCUUGCUGGGAUUGGCCGGGAUUGAACGUUAGACUCAGGUGGCAUCACCUGCAGAAUGCCUUGCUGGGAUUGGCUGGGAUUGAACGUUAGACUCAGGUGGCAUCGCCUGCAGAAUGCCUUGCGGGGAUUGGCUGGGAUUGCAGCGAAUCACCUCUUGGCUCUAAUAGCCAAAAUUCAUAGCUGUGCAGAACUCUCUUUGAAAAAAUGGCCAAUGAUUACAUAAGAGUGAAUCCAAUUCCCAUUAACAAAUCUUAAUAUAAUACAUCCAACAAAGCUACGUGUAGAAACUAAGUGACAUCAAACAUAUGCUUGUCGUAAUCACGUGUGUUGAAAACUGUGUUGAAAAGUGCACCAGGUGCCAGUAGGGGCCAAGGGACCUAGGCCCCUUGCCAAGGUCAGCGCAUGCUGACCUGCGCUGGUGGUCGGGUGGAGGGCUCCAUUUGCAAACAGGCGACAGUUGGCUGCCAAUCUUGUUGAUCAUUUAUUUGCUGAUCAAAAAGGAAUUCUGUCAGUACUGUGCACCCUAACACAAUAUUUGGACCUUCAUACAUGUAUUAGUCGGUUUUCCUGCUGCUAAUAAAGACAUACCCAAGACUGGGUAAUUUAUAAAGGAAAGAGGUUUAAUGGACUCACAGUUCCGCAUGGCUGGGGAGGCCUCACAAUCAUGGUGAAUGGCAAAGGAGGAGCAAAGUUGCAUCUUACAUGGCAGCAAGCAAGAGGCCUUGUGCAGGGGAACUCCCAUUUAUAAAACCAUUAGAUCUCAUGAGACUUACUCACUAUCACGAGAACGGCAUGGGAAAUGUCUGCCUCCAUGAUUCAAUUACUUCCCACCAGGUCCCUCCCACAACACAUGGGAAUUAUGGGAGCUACAAUUCAAGAUGAGAUUUGGGUGGGGACUCAGCCAAACCAUAUCGAUACAUAAGCAUUUUACUGGGCUUUGGCUGUAUUAAGGGAUUGAUUGGAGAUUUUAAGAUCAUACAUUAUAAUUUUUCCCAUUUAAAAUAAUGCAAAAUGUGUUCUUCAUUGAUGCUUCCAAGCACAGAUUCUGACAUUUUGCAACAGGAUUCCAAUGUUAAGAGAAAGCUCCGUGUCACUUACUGGUUCUGAUGGGUCAGACCUGGACUCGGGGAAUGGAGGGGCUGGGUUCCUCCUAAACCACAGGGACUGAGGUGGGGUACGAGUGACUACCCAAAAGAACACUGGGGUUCAUUUAGCAACAGGAUGGGAAAUGGAUACUGAAAAGCAAAAUAACAAAUUUUACAAAAAUGUUUUCUGUCCAAGAAUUAAAUAUGUGACACAUCAAUGUGUUCAAUGUCCUUACAUAUUAUGCGUAAGACAUCUGGGCACAGAUAGGAAGGCAGGACAGGUCUGAGCACCUCCCGCCACCUCUCCCCUCCCGGCUCAGGAAAGCUGCUCACAGCUGCAGCCAGCCCGGCCCCCCGCCCUCACCUGCUCCCCCUGCUGUCUCCAGAGUCCCUGGGCUUUCUCCCCCUCCACCUGUUUCCUCUCCUUGGGCUGCCUCUCCCAGGCUAAACAUGCCCGGGGCACAUCAGUGUUGAAAAGAGCUGUUUCUCUGCUGUCCUCACCCCUAAGCUACAGGCUACACCUUGUUUCCCACCCACGGAGAAUCUUCUAGGGAAAUUAGUGCACAGGAUAAGCUUUUAACAGAUUAUCAGAAACGUUUUCAUCCUAGUGUUUCCUGUGACCAUGUGGCCCGCCCAUCCAGGAUGGUCUGCAUCCAGGGAAAGAUGGGGAAGAGGGGAGGGCAGGCCCAGUGGGGGCCUCCCCACCCACAGGCCCCUCCUCCUCCUGAUGGAGCAGCCCCAUCUGCUACAAGCACUCCCCAGGGGUGCGGGGUUCAUGCUUAGAGCAGCAAUCAUUCCUGUUUAUCUGAAAUUCAAAUCUGCCUGGCAUCAGGUACAUUCAUUUACUAACCUGCAGCUCCACCUGGAAUGAUUUGGGACAGCCCUUCCCAUCUCCCUGGGAAGGAUCAGUGGUGUUUGGACAGGCACUUUGCACCCUGGGUGCCUGUGAGGUGGGUUCCCCUUCAAGAAGAGGCCUAACCAGUGCUCCUGCUCCCUGGGUCGGGUCUCCUCACAGCCCAGGGUCUGGGUGGUCUGCAGGGCAGGCUGUUCUCUGUUCCUCCAGCAAGGAUGACCACUGCAGGUGGGGCUGCAGGGAGGCCAGGUGCUACCAGGUAGAGGCCAGAGCUGGGUCGCUCAGUUCGCUCUGCUCUUGUCCUCAGACCCCGAUGCCAGCUCUAGAAAGAGGGGCCCUUUUGCCUUGGCCUCUCCAUGGGGCACAGGCCUCCCUCCCCACCCCACCACGGCAGUGGGGGCAUGAGCUCCAGGGACACCUGCUUUCCUCACAGCCCUGCCCUGAGGACGCUGAUUUGCCUUCUUGCCACAGGUCCAGAAAAGUCUGGAUUUGAUCCUGGCACCGAGGAGGGUCUCUGUGAGCUUGGACUCCUCUCCUGACAGGGGGAAGGGCAGGGCCAGUGCAUCUCACAGCCAUGGCAGGCUGAUGGGACUGUCACACAGCUUUUUGGCCUUGAACUCAGGGCUUAAUGUUAUCAUAUCACUUAAUACUCCCAGGGACCUGGGUGAGGUACAGUCCCAUUCCCAUUUGACAGAGAGGAGGCUGGGGUGCACUGAGAGGUAAUCAGUGUGCUGGCGACAUUUAACAGCCAGCUCUCCAGAAACAUAAAUCACCCUGAUUUGUGGAGAUUGCCAGGUUCCCAGGCACAAAUAUUCCCAGCACAUCCAAUUUCAAGUGCUAGCAGUUUAACAACUGGCUCAUAAAACCCCUGAAAAUGUGAGAGUCGGCUCCCACAAGCUGCUGUGGGACAGCCCCAGCUCCCUGAUAACCUUCUAGGACCUGCCCUAGUUGGGGAGGAGACGGAUCCAGACCCCAAGGGCCUGGACACCAGGGGGGCUCCACUCAGAUCCUCUGGCCCUCACCAUUCCCAGGACCCCCUCUUGGGCUUCUGUGUUCUUCUCUCUCCAGGGCUGGCUCCUGACACUCCUCUUUAAACAACUGUCCUUAGGCCACUGAGCCCGACCAGCCCCACUGCAGUGAGCCGAAGUGGCCUGGGGGCCAGCCAUGCUGAAGCUGCCUCCUCCCAGCUUGUGGGAUAUGAUUUUGGUGUUUACAGUUUUCAGGAAUUAUAUAAACCAGGUAUGACACAGGCUGAACAUCAGUCAUGGUGAAAUUAUUCACAUCCCAGGAACCUGGCAGGGGCUGUGCUGCUGCUGCCCCUGGGAGUGAGUUGUCCCACACUCAGCAGCUCGCCCUGUCUCAUCCUCCCCACCUAGCGAGGCUUUGACCAGUGACGGGGGUGUGGGAACCUCCAACAGGGCGGCUGAGGCUGGGUUCACGCUCCAGGGCGCCCCUGCAGGACCACAAGGAAGCCAUUGCAGUCAGGAGACCUGGCGCUCAAAGCUUCGCUUAUCCUGACCCUGUGCCUCUCCCCGCUCCCUCCCGGCCCUCCCUUCACGCGUCACCUGUUCCCAAGUCCUCAUCCCAGGAUCUGCUUCCGGGGACCAGGCCUGAUAGGCUCCAAAGCUCUGCUCUUAACCAGCACCGCAACUGGAGGAAAAGCAGGAGGCAUUUGGCUGUUGAUGAUCAUGACAUUUUCAUUAUUCUGUGUGGUUUGGGUUUAUUUUACCCAAGGAGCACAGUCCACAGAAAAUAGAACAUUUCAGGAAUACCAACCAAGCUAAGUAACAUGUUCACAUGAUAUUUAUUAAAACUGUGAUGAAACCGGCUCCACAAACCGUUGAUAGAAGAUGGGCUGUGUAAAACCGGUACUGGGAAAACGGGUUGUCUGUGUGGAGGAAAGUAAGACUGAAUCGCUAACCAAUACUGCAAAC